AAUUGUGAAUUGAUUUGGGUUGCAAACCGUAAAGAUUCUGUUUUAAUUUUUGAUACAUAAAAAUAUAUCUAAACAUAUAGAUAUUAAAGAUACACUAUAAAUAAAUGAAUUGCUUCUUUUAAAUGAUGGACAUGGGUGUAAUAGGGAAGAUGCUUCUGUCUAUGUUUAGUUUCAUAUAUUACGAAUAACAAUCUUUUUAAAUUAAUGGCGUCUAAAAUCUAACUCCUUUUUGGCCAUGCUUUUGCUACUAAGUAUAGAAUGAAGAGUGUUCCUGUGGUCGAUCUAGGAGAAAGAAAGAUUGAUAUCAUCGUCAUAAUCUGCUGUUAUUCACAUGUUGGAGGAAUGCGCCGGUCUUUUACCAGUCUAGUGUUGUUUAAUUUUUCUUGUGCAGUUGGAUGAGCACUCAUCCUAUGAAAGAAUUUGUUUCCAUGUUUAAAGAAGGUUCCUUCUGAGGAUCUCUAAUUGCAGCUGGGCCAGUUCAACAAGUUUCAAGCAGAUAGCAAAUAUCCAAAAGAUUAGCAAAUAGGUACUCGACCUAGUUUGUUGCAGAAUAUAUCUUAUGCAUCAGCAAAGAAGUUAGGAUUCAGCAUGCUGAUUUCUGGAAGCCCCAAAUCUGGCCAGAGGUAUCUUGCUUCUUGCCUUCUCCACUGCUUUGUUGGAAACGUGGAAAUCCAAAAGGUUGA
Camellia sinensis is the source of this 683-nucleotide non-coding RNA. Lineage: Eukaryota; Viridiplantae; Streptophyta; Magnoliopsida; Ericales; Theaceae. The record is from RefSeq and is a predicted model, not a curated record.